RNAcentral lists this ribosomal RNA (408 nucleotides) under uncultured bacterium. RNAcentral describes it as "bacterial SSU rRNA". It matches the Rfam family "Bacterial small subunit ribosomal RNA", at positions 355 to 776 of the family's 1533-position model. The record is from RNAcentral.
UGAGGGAUAUUGGGCAAUGGGCGCAAGCCUGACCCAGCGACGCCGCGUGGAGGACGAAGGGCUUCGGCUCGUAAACUCCUUUUCCCGUGGACGAGAGAUAGGACGGUACACGGGGAAUAAGUCUCGGCUAACUACGUGCCAGCAGCCGCGGUAAAACGUAGGAGGCAAGCGUUAUCCGGAAUCACUGGGCGUAAAGGGCGUCUAGGCGGCACGAUAAGCGAGGUGUGAAAGCUCCUGGCUCAACUAGGAGAGUGCGCUUCGAACUGUCGAGCUACGAGGGCAGGCGAAGGGGGUGGAAUUCCCGGUGGAGUGGUGGAAUGCGUAGAGAUCGGGAGGAACACCCGUGGCGAAAGCGGCCCCCUAGCCUGAACCUGACGCUGAAGCGCGAAAGCGUGGGGAGCAAACGGG